Molecule: long non-coding RNA, 4568 nt
Filed under: Sus scrofa (pig)
Lineage: Eukaryota; Metazoa; Chordata; Mammalia; Artiodactyla; Suidae
Description: lncRNA (ENSSSCG00000053458.1)
Source: RNAcentral
GUUAACGAUCUGGCGUUGCCGUGAGCUGUGGUGUAGGUUGUAGACGCGGCUCGGAUCCCACGUUGCUGUGGCUCUGGCGUAGGCCGGUGGCUACAGCUCCAAUUCAACCCCUAGCCUGGGAACCUCCAUAUGCCGCGGGAGCGGCCCAAGAAAUAGCAACAACAACAACAACAACAACAACAACAAAAAGACAAAAGACAAAAAAUAAAAUAAAAUAAAAAAAUAAUAAUAAAAAAAAAUAAAAGCUCCUGAUAAUUCCCAGAAGAGACUAUAUUCUUUUUAUUCUCCUCUAAAGAAACCAGCAUUCAACAUAAAUUUUUUCUAGUCAGUUUGUUAUUUUCUGCUUUGAUACUUGUCUUAUAACAGUUUUGGGUUUUACUAUUUUUGUUAACACUUCAUUUUAGGGAUUCUCUUCAGAACAUUAGCACCAUCUAUAACAUUAUCUUAAAUGAAAAUUCUACUCUGGUACCAAAGUUAUGGAACCCAACUCAUCUGUAAGUUGAGGACCACAUGAAUAUACCUAGCACCAUGCUAGACAUUCCCCUAACUAAGUCGCCUGUUCUUCCACUAUCAUAGGGAGAGUCCUUAAGGUUUGACAAAGGAGAGGGAUGGCUAUGAAGGCAGAUUUUAAUGACCUCUGUUUCUGUGGGUAAGAUUGAUGACUGCCCAGUCGUCCAUGACAUGGAAGGAAUUAGUCUUAUCUUCAGCCCAGGAGAAUCUACUAUAUAUUAUUUUUCCAGUACCAAGAAGAUAGCACCCCUUGUACCUAGUUAAUCACUAUGACAACCUAAAGAAGCAAUGCUUAUUGUAAUGUCGAGAACUAUUCUCAGAAAAAAAAAUGCUUUUAAAAUUGAAAUAUUUAUCUAGUUAAAGAUAAGUGCUCUAAAAUUAACAUAUGUUCACUUUUCCUGACAUUAAAUAUAAACCUUAGUUUGAGUCUGUUUUCUAUUUCUACCAGGCGCUGUGAUUCUCUGUGAACAUUAGCAAAAGACAAAAGGAGACAGAAAAUUCUCAAAUGUUUUUAAGCACAUAAAACAAAUUUUUAUCUAUUAGGUAGUGAAUUGUAUUUUCUCUGUUGCCCUUGAGAAUAUCACAAUCAUGAUUUAUCCCUAUGUAUUUUUAGUACAUAUUUAAAUUAGUCAUUGUGAAUCAGAUAUCCUAAGAUCAUUUAAUUAAUUACCUGCAUUAUCUAACCCCUACUUAAAUUUCUUCUCUAGACAUAUUACUCCUACAGACUAAAUUAUUCAUCUCACCAAACCUUCUAAACUGACAGAGCCACUUGCUUUCUAGCUAAAGUACUAUUGUGAAAGCAAGUCUCAGCUCAACAAAUACUUUCUCUUUUAUUAAAAGAUAAGGGUUAAGAACCGCCAUGUCUAAAAAUAGAUACUUGAAGCUUAAAAUCUGUCAGACCAUAUGUUGUACAACUCCAAGAUCCAGGAAACAAAGACAUCCUUCACCAGGAGGUAUGUAUUAUUACAGUCACUCUAGACAGUCAUCGAGUGCCAGUUCAUUUGUAUGAUUGUACAGUCAUUUAAACAUCUUUAGAAGAGAAAUAGAUAUAAAUUCCUGGGGGUGAUGAAGAGAAAACAUUAGUGAAUUGGCACUGAUCUGAUCUGUAUACAUUUGUACCUGUGGUGUGAGAAUGCAUAUGAUGAUGUGAAUGUUUGUCUAGUGUACUUGAGAGUUCUUUUAAGGAAAGUACUUUUCUUGUUCCUCAUUGACAGUCAAUGAAAUAACCACAAAACAUAGGACUCGAGGCAGUCUUUGCCUCUAAGCAAGAUAAUAUUUUACAAAAGUUUAUCAGAUCUUUGUCAUUUUCUUUUCCUGUAUUGGAAUUUGAACAUUUUUUCCUGAGAGAUGUAUUAUUUUAUUGUUUAAAAAUUUCUUUUAAAAGUUUGAAGUAAGUUUUCGGAGUUGCCCUUGGGGCACAGUGGAAGUGAAUCCAACUAGGAACGAUGAGGUUGCGGGUUUGAUCCCUGGCCUUGCUUAGUGGGUUAAGGAUCCGGCGUUGCCGUGACCUGUGGUGUAGGUUGCAGACGAGGCUUGGAUCCCAAGUUGCUGUGGCUGUGGUGUAGACCAGCAGCUGCAGCUCCAAUUUAACCCCUAGCCUGGGAACCUCCAUAGGCCAUAGGUGCAACCCUAAAAAAAGCAAAAAAAAAAAGUUAAGAAAAGUCUUUGAAGUACGUUUUAAAACAUAUUGCCAUUUGGUUCUAAAUAUGUUUACAUAUAUGAUGCACAUUUUAUAACAUUUUACAGAUUUUAUAUGGUGCUAACUCAGCCAUCUUCAGAGAUUAAAUUACGGCCUCUGCUAAAAUAUCAUUUUGAGACUGUGUAAAUAGUACAUUGAAGCAAUUUGGCAGUUACUCAGUUUAGGCCACAAACAAUUCUAGCCUCCAAAGGGGAUUCUUUUCUAUCUUUAUAAUUAUCAAAUCUCCACUUCUCUUUAUGUUGCAGAGGCCCAACUACAUUGGUAUGUUUCAAAAACCAAACACUUUUAAAAUGUUAAGGUUAAGAGAUCCAAGUACUUAGCAACGAUCAUGCAAGAUAGUUGUAAAGACAGAAACAUAUGGUUUUUGUUAACAAAUGAACUUAAGUCCUCUUCAAGUAAUGGAAGAGGAAAGAAGACAUGAAGGGUAAUGUCAGGCCGUGUAUUUCUUCCAGGACAUGAGGCUAUAUUCCUUUUAAUUUUUAAAAUUAUGCAAGUGUGUAUACCUAUAUGUAUGUGUAUAUCUAAAGAAAGCUUUACAUACUCAUGAUACAAAGAUACAAAAGCAUAUACAGUGAAAACAAGUCUCUCUCCUUUUCUUCAGCUGCCCAGCUUCCCUCUCCAAAGGCAAAUGUCGUACCCAGUUUUGGGGUGAUUCUUCUAACAAUAGUGCAUGCAUUUGCCAACAUACAUGUAUAAACCCCUCACCCCUUGUCUUCCUGUCCUUACACACAAAAGGUAAGAUACUAUAAGCUCUACUCUGUUCCUUGAGUUUUCACUCUUGAGAAUUGUUCCACAUCUGACAUAUAAAGUCAUCAUUCCAGCUACUAUCUGCGUAGUAAUCCACAGUAUAAGUACAGCAUAAUUCAUCAGUCUGUUAACAAGGAGCACUUAACUAAUGUUUCCCAUAUUCUACUUUUACAAAUAGAUUGCAAUAAGUAUUUCAUUUGUAUAUAUUUUGUGUUGCAUGUAUGCAAGAUUAUCUAUAGACUGAAAACCUAGGAGUUGAAAUUAUUGGGUCAAAGAGUAUGAGCAUUUUUAAUGUUUACAAGUGGGACCAAACUGCCCUCCAUGAAAAUUGUACUAAUUUUCACUCCCAACGGUAAUGUAUGAAAAAGAAACAAGGUUUUUCAUUAGGACCCACUUCAUAUUUGAAUUCCAAAAGAAAUAAAAGGACAAAUAUAUUAUUUUUACAUAUUACAAAUGUUAAAGAAAUUCCAGCAUUUGAAAGAUAGAAAAUGCAGGAGUCCCUGCUGUGGUGCAGCAGGUUAAAAAUCUGCUCUUUUCUCUGAAGCAGUGAGGGUUUGAUCCCUGGCCCAGCACAGUGGAUUAAGUGUCUGGCAUUGCCGCAGUUGUGGCAUAGGUUGCAGCUGCAGCUCAGAUUUGCUCCUUGGCCCAGGAAUUUCCACAUGCCUUGGGUGCAGCCCCCAAAAAGAAAAAUAGAAAAUAACCCUUCCAGAUUUCAGAUGAUACUUUGAUUACUGUAGUAAUCAAAACAGCCAGGUAUUGACACAAAAACAGAUAUAUGGGUCAAUGGUACAGAAUAGAGAGACUAGAAAUAAGCCCCAACACCUACGGUCAAUUUAUCUUCAACAAAAGAGUUAAGAAUAUGCAAUGAGGAAAAGACAGUCUCUUCAGCAAGUGGUGUUGAGAAAGUUGGACAGCCACAUGUAAAUCAAAUAAGUUAGAACACACCCUCUGACCAGACACAAAAAUAAACUCAAUAUGGGAAUGUAAAUUGGUGCAGCCACUAUGGACAGUAUGGAGGUUUCUUAAAAAACUAAAGAUAGAGUUGCUGUAUGAUCCUGCAGCACCACUCCUGGGUAUACAUCCAGACAAAACUGUAAUUUGAAAAUAUACAUGAAUCCCCAUGUUCAUGGCAGCACUCUUUAUAAGAGCCAAGACAUGGAAAUAACCUAAAUGCCCAUUAAAAGAUGAAUGGAUAAAGAAAAUGAUGGAAUAUUACUCAGCCAUAAAAGAAAUGAAAUACUGCCAUUUGCAGUUAUGUGGAUCAACCCAGAGAUUAUAUACUAAGCAAAAUAGAAGGAUAAAGAAAAAUACCACAGGAUGUCAUUUAUAUGGGGAGUAUUAAAUAUAAUACAAAUGAACUUAUCUAUGAAAUGGAAGCAAACUCAUAGAACAUAGAGAACAGACUUGUGAUUGCCAAGGGAGAGGGUAGAUGAGGUAGCGGUUUCCAUCCCUGGCCUCACUCAGUUGGUUAAGGAUCUGGUGUUGCUGUGAGCUGUGGUGUAGGUCGCAGACGCGGUUUGGAUCCCGUGUUGCUGUGGCUGUGGCAUAGGCUGGAGGCUACAGCUCUGAUUAGACCCCUAGCCUGGGAAACUCCAUAUGCCACAAGUGCAGU